RNAcentral lists this transfer RNA (72 nucleotides) under Camelus bactrianus (Bactrian camel). It matches the Rfam family "tRNA". From Rfam's summary of the family: Transfer RNA (tRNA) molecules are approximately 80 nucleotides in length. Their secondary structure includes four short double-helical elements and three loops (D, anti-codon, and T loops). The record is from Rfam by way of RNAcentral. RNAcentral also lists the same sequence under 2 other names. Lineage: Eukaryota; Metazoa; Chordata; Mammalia; Artiodactyla; Camelidae.
GAGGGUAUAGCUCAGCAGUAGAGUGCAUGCUUAGCAUGCACAAGGUCCUGGGUUCAAUCCCCAGUGCCUCCA